UCUGUAGGCGCAAUUCGCCCAGAAAGCGGAGGGUGAUAGUUUAUAAUUAUUAUUCUUAUUCUCUGUUUUAUCGCGUUUCCGUUUUAAAUGCCGGGUGUGUGAGCGCGUCCUGGACCUCCUGUCAGCAUGGCCCCGGUGUGGGUCUGAAGCGGGCGCGCGAGCAUUCUGAAGCGGACAAAGUGAAAUGGAUCCCCGGAGCGCUGAACCUGUUCCAUCCCGCACACAAAGCCUGUGAAGCAGGCCGUGGUUUUUUUUUUCUCCCCUCACACAGAGACGCUGCGCAGAUGAUGCUCAAACAUGACGGGGAAUCAUUACAAAGGACACGAAGUCAGCUGCUGCAUCAAGUACUUCAUUUUUGGAUUCAAUAUCCUGUUUUGGCUGUUGGGCAUGGCCUUAGUUGGAAUUGGAUUGUGGGCAUGGAGUGAGAAGGGGGUUCUGUCCAACAUCUCAUCCAUCACAGACCUGGGGGGUCUGGAUCCAGUCUGGCUCUUCAUGGUGGUCGGGGGGGUCAUGUUCAUUCUGGGCUUCGCCGGAUGCAUCGGAGCGCUGCGAGAAAACACCUUUCUGCUUAAGUUUUUCUCUGUGUUUCUGGGAAUCAUCUUUUUCUUGGAGCUGACGACUGGAAUCCUGGCGUUUGUCUUUAAGGACUGGAUUAAAGACCAGCUCAACCUAUUCAUCAACAAUAACAUCCGGGCGUACCGGGAUGACAUCGAUCUACAGAACCUCAUAGAUUUCACUCAGGAAUAUUGGGAGUGCUGUGGUGCGUUUGGAGCAGAUGACUGGAACCUGAACAUCUAUUUUAACUGUACCGAUGGGAAUCCCAGUCGGGAAAAAUGUGGAGUUCCCUUCUCCUGCUGCACCAAGGACCCAGCGGAGGAUGUUAUAAACACUCAGUGUGGAUACGACAUUCGAGCUAAACCAGACUCGGAGCAGAAAGACUACAUCAACGUGAAAGGCUGCGUGCCGCAGUUUGAGAAGUGGCUUCAGGACAACCUCACCUUGGUGGCUGGGAUCUUCAUCGGUGUUGCACUGCUGCAGAUUUUUGGAAUUUGUUUGGCCCAAAACUUAGUGAGUGACAUCGAGGCUGUACGGGCAAGCUGGGUGCCCCCCCCUUUCUCCAUGCGUCGACUCCCACCACACUCCAGCAAGAAAGCAUCAGCUUACUACUCAUGAGACACACACACACGUCACGCAACGCUGUGUGUGUGUUUGUAGCCGUUUCUUUACCUAAUGCUGAAACAGCAUUUCAACUCUAACAGUGUUUGAACGCACCAGAACGUCAGGAGAGAGCAUUCAGAGGACGUCACUGAUCACCUGCACCAUUUCGUUCACUGAACCAGCACCUUUUUUUCCAAGGCACUAAUACGUGAACCGAUGCUCUGUAUAUAACACUGUGUGUGACUACUGUAAAAAAAAAAAGGUAACUGUUGGAAAGGAUGGUUAACAUGCACUACAUGCAGAUUUGUCACAGUGCUCCAAUUUUGAUAGCUACGUCUAGAGAGUAGGAGUUUUGAUACCUUUUUUUGAUAUUAGAUUGGUAUUUUUCACUGUAGAAAAUAAUGCUCCAUUGCUAAGCCCAUCAUAUUAGAACUGUGAAAUAGUGUACAAAACAAACUGAGGUGUAUUUUACGCACGUUUCCACCACAUGUCCAGGACUUCGUGAGGGUUUAGAUGAGCUAAAUAUUCUCCAAAUUACUUCAGCUGCUUAGCAUAACGACUUACUGCUCAGCUAAUGGACUGACACUUAAUGACGUGAUGGAGUCUUUCCCGUGACUAAAGGACCCAUUAGACUAAGACCAUGUAGCUCCAGCGUUACACUUACACAGUUACACUUUUCUUUUUUUUGUACUGACCGAAAUGUGUCGUCUGGUCUGUUGCGGCCGUUUGUGCUUAGACAUCAUUACACAUGUUAAACACUUUGGCUUCUGUUGUUAAAAGAAGAGAUUUGGACUCAGACUGCUAAAGUUCAUGUGGUAACUGAACUUGCUCUUGCACAGAACAAGGACUGUGGAUUUUGUCCCCCUAUGUCUUACAAUGUAUGCUCUAUAAAGAAGUCCUUUCAAGGUGACUAUGGAGAGUAGGAAUGAUUUUAGCAUCCAGAUACUGUUACAACUUCAAAAAAAUGAUAAAAAAUCAAAAUGAAUCCAUUCAAUGGAAAAUUUUUAUGGGUAAAUAUGUUUAUGGAAUUUAAAAAAAUAUGAAACCAGGAUUGAGAUACCUCACUGGCACUCAUAUUGAAUACCUGCAAUGGUCACUCAUUUUUCCAGGGUUAUUAUAACAGUCCUGAAGGUUUUGGAAAUGGGACUCUUAAAUCCUGUUUUUUUAAACCAUCUUUAAGGUUCAAGUCCUGAUACACAACAUUUAAUUGGCUGUCAUUUCAUAUUGUGGUGAGUUGAUGUUUUUCGCAGGACGUGUCAAAAACUUGGGAGUGGAACGUUUAGAACGAGGGGCCCGGGAACAAAUGAGUCGUCUCUGGUGUGGAACAGAAUAUUUUUCAUAUUGUGAAACAGACAUUUCUUACAUUACUGCACUUAGUUCAAUGAAAACAGACCUGGCACAUGUGUCCUAUGAUUUGUCUUUCACUGUGUGCUUUUUGAUGCAGAUCACAGCAGUACACAUAAUAACAGAACUUAACCGAGUCUUUAAAUCUAGCCCAGAUAUAAAAUGUUUUUUUGUUUUUUUUUUAAAGUGUUGGCAUAUAUGUAUUUUUUAAUCAGUGUUUCUUCUGACAGUUUAAAGUGAUUAUUCCCAGUUCCAAUUAUUUUGUCUGUAAAAUCGGUUCAAAUUCACAACGUGGGGCAUCAGAUGGGACACAUUCUGAAAAUGUGUGUUAAGCUACUUAAAAGGGAUCGACACUGUUUUUGAUACUUAUUAUUUCCUGUAUAUUUGAGUUGGUUUUUAUAAUUUCCUCAAACAUUUAGUACCACUGACUGUUUGUGCCCAGCUUUAGGAGGUUGUAACUAAAUGAGGAGUUCUCUCACUCAUCACUACCUGUUCACUUCCACUCAUUGUUUAUAUGAUCACAAUAAGCUAAUGAGCCGGAACAUUAAGAUCACAUCUGCCUAAUAAACUGUUGUUACUACUGUUGGUACACCAA
This is an RNA transcript of Toxotes jaculatrix (banded archerfish), 3097 nucleotides long. It is a transcript of the gene named tetraspanin 5a, with no coding region annotated. The record is from RefSeq and is a predicted model, not a curated record. The transcript has 11 exons. NCBI's taxonomy places the organism in Eukaryota, Metazoa, Chordata, Actinopteri, Toxotidae.